This 499-nucleotide ribosomal RNA is filed under the name uncultured bacterium. RNAcentral's name for it is "partial 16S ribosomal RNA". It matches the Rfam family "Bacterial small subunit ribosomal RNA", at positions 28 to 507 of the family's 1533-position model. The record is from RNAcentral.
GAUGAACGCUGGCGGCGUGCCUAAUACAUGCAAGUCGAGCGAACAGACGAGAGUGCUUGCACUCUCUGACGUUAGCGGCGGACGGGUGAGUAACACGUGGGUAACCUACCUAUAAGACUGGGAUAACUUCGGGAAACCGGAGCUAAUACCGGAUAAUAUUUAGCUUCGCAUGAAGCAAUAGUGAAAGACGGUUCUGCUGUCACUUAUAGAUGGACCCGCGGUGUAUUAGCUAGUUGGUGAGGUAACGGCUCACCAAGGCAACGAUACAUAGCCGACCUGAGAGGGUGAUCGGCCACACUGGGACUGAGACACGGACCAGACUCCUACGGGAGGCAGCAGUAGGGAAUCCUCCGCAAUGGACGAAAGUCUGACGGAGCAAUGCCGCGUGAGUGAAGAAGGUUUUCGGAUCGUAAAACUCUGUUGUAAGGGAAGAACAAGUACGUUAGUAACUGAACGUACCUUGACGGUACCUUACCAGAAAGCCACGGCUAACUACGUG